GUGCUCACUUUGGCAGCACAUAUACUAAAAUUCUAAAAAUACUGAGAAGAUUAACAUGGCCCCAGCACAAGAACAACACACCAAAUUUAUAAAGCAUUACAUAUUUCA
Molecule: small nuclear RNA, 108 nt
Filed under: Marmota marmota marmota (Alpine marmot)
Lineage: Eukaryota; Metazoa; Chordata; Mammalia; Rodentia; Sciuridae
Source: RNAcentral